GAUGAACGCUGGCGGCGUGCCUAAUACAUGCAAGUCGAGCGAACAGACGAGGAGCUUGCUCCUCUGACGUUAGCGGCGGACGGGUGAGUAACACGUGGAUAACCUACCUAUAAGACUGGGAUAACUUCGGGAAACCGGAGCUAAUACCGGAUAAUAUAUUGAACCGCAUGGUUCAAUAGUGAAAGACGGUUUUGCUGUCACUUAUAGAUGGAUCCGCGCCGCAUUAGCUAGUUGGUAAGGUAACGGCUUACCAAGGCAACGAUGCGUAGCCGACCUGAGAGGGUGAUCGGCCACACUGGAACUGAGACACGGUCCAGACUCCUACGGGGGGCAGCAGUAGGGAAUCUUCCGCAAAGGGCGAAAGCCUGACGGAGCAACGCCGCGUGAGUGAUGAAGGUCUUCGGAUCGUAAAACUCUGUUAUUAGGGAAGAACAAAUGUGUAAGUAACUAUGCACGUCUUGACGGUACCUAAUCAGAAAGCCACGGCUAACUACGUG
RNAcentral lists this ribosomal RNA (497 nucleotides) under uncultured bacterium. RNAcentral's name for it is "partial 16S ribosomal RNA". It matches the Rfam family "Bacterial small subunit ribosomal RNA", at positions 28 to 507 of the family's 1533-position model. The record is from RNAcentral.